Molecule: RNA transcript, 10145 nt
Organism: Temnothorax curvispinosus
Lineage: Eukaryota; Metazoa; Arthropoda; Insecta; Hymenoptera; Formicidae
Gene: htk
Gene name: AT-rich interactive domain-containing protein 4B
Exons: 8
Source: RefSeq, a predicted model, not a curated record
AGUUCAGUCGUUCAUCGCUGUUGCACAUCCCUGUCCUGCCGAUCCCUAUCGUCUCGUCUGUCACCCUGUGAAGGCGCAUAUUCGACGCGCCGUUUCGGUAUUGAAUCUCUUCGAGUGGCGUGCAUUCGCGUUUCGCGUAGUAGAGUGCGAAUGAGAAAGAAGUCGCCCGUUAUUUCCGAGUGUUCACCGUUCGGCGAUAAUCCACGUACGGUGUUUAUACAUACUUACAUACGUACAUACAUACAUACGGCACUGAAUGGGUCUGUAUUGCGCUGUACGUUUGUAACGUACUCCGGAACUCCGGACGGUCCUUUUGACGUACGCGACGACGUAUGGAUCGUCGCGUUAUGAUCCAAUGAGAGCGGCCGAGUAGUCGGCUGAUAAAUAGCCUCGUUAAAGUGGAAAUGGGCUGGGAACAGAAGCUCUGGCUCAUACGCAUUCGUGUCGCGAAGUGCUACGGAGAGUGCCGUUUUCUCGAAGCGGGUCAGUCUGUGCCAUACUGCUGCUUUGCCUGCACGCGAUUCUCGUUAUCGGAACAGACGAUGUAAGGAUCUGCGUGCGUUUGUUCUGAUGUCUUUCAAGUGCAUCUAAUCCGAUUGAAUUAACGCCGUGGAGCUCUAAAAGAUGCUGGGAGACGAUCCACCAUCCCUAUCGGUGGGUACAGAAGUUAGCGCUAAAUACAAGGGUGCCUUCUGCGAAGCAAAAAUCCGUAAGGUGGUACGAUCAGUGAAAUGUCGUGUAACUUAUAAACCACAAGGUUUGGGAACUGCUACGGUUGCCGAUGAUCAAAUAAGAGGGACUUUAAGAGUAGGCGCCUCCGUCGAAGUUAAACAUGUAGAUCGGAAAGAACUUGUAGAAGCUACGAUUACAAAAAUCCAAGACUGCAGUCAAUACACCGUGGUUUUCGACGAUGGAGAUAUUACAACGUUGAGAAGAACCGCGCUUUGUCUGAAAAGUGGACGGCACUUUGCAGAAAGUGAAACGUUGGAUCAACUUCCGUUGACUCAUCCAGAGCAUUUUGGGAACCCUGUAAUUGGAGGUAGAAGGGGUAGACGAUCAAGGCAAGCACAGGAUGAAAGCAGCGAAGAUGAGGACAGUCCACCACGAGGCGCUCGUGACUCGGCUUCCAGCGGAGGUGCGAAAGAAGGAAUGGAAACUGAACCAGAAAUUGGUAGAGUGGUUUGUGUAGAACUCGGUGAUAAAAAGAAGAAGGACAAUUGGUUUCCAGGAUUGGUGGUUGCACCUACUGCUCAAGAUACAGUAAGAAUACGAGUGAGAGAUGAUUAUUUAGUGCGCUCGUUUAAAGAUGCUAGAUAUUAUACAGUACCCAAGAAGGAAGCUACAGAAUUCACGAAAGAAUUAGUUAAUAAAAUUGAAAAUAGUACUCUGAAGGUCGCAGUAGAGAAAGCGCUUUUAUUUUUAGAGAAAAAUGAAUUGCCACCCCAUUGGGACAGGGAUUCCCUCUUUGGACAUUCUGUUUCUAGUGGGAAUAGCGAUUAUGAUGGAGAACUCGACUCAGAUAGUUCGGACGACGAACCGCGUGAAGAAAAAGAUCAUUUUGUGGCUCAAUUGUAUAAAUUUAUGGAUGAUCGCGGCACACCUAUAAAUGUUUGCCCGAUGAUUGGAACUGAGGAUAUAGACUUGUACCGGCUUUUCCGAGCAGUCUACAAAUUGGGUGGUUACAAUCGUGUUACGAAUCAGAAUCAAUGGAAAGCCGUAACACGACGACUUGGUUUUACGAUGCAAAAUUCGGCGUCAUUAUACAAUCUUGUGAAGCAGGCUUAUAAGAAGGUCUUACAUUCUUUUGAAGAUUUUUAUAGAAAAUUAGGCUGUACUAUGGUAAAUCAUCCGCGAGGUAGCAUGCGCAAACAACGCCCUGGAAGAAGUCUGAUCCGCGACAAAGACAGAAAUACUCCUAUACCACCGCCAGCACCAGCGCAAGUGAAAAGUGACAAAGAUGAAGAUGAAAAGAAAGUUGUGGAGGAUGAGAAGAAAGAGAAGAAGGAGAUUAAGAAGGAACAAAUGAAAGAAGAAGAAGUUGUCAAGAUAAAAAAGAAAGAAGAAUCUGAGGGAAACGGUAGCGGCCAGGAGAGCGAUGUAAAUGUGGAAGGAGAUAUCGAAUCGUCUAAUAAUGAAAAAUCACAAAAACCGACCACACAAAUUUCUACGUUAUCUCCUACUUCGUGCAGUACUACAACGGCAUCAUCCAGCCGGACCAAAUCAAAAAGUAAAGAAGAUAUCAAGAAGAAGGUGAUUGAAAAGAAGAAAACAGAGACCAAGAAGCAAGAAAAGAAGGAUGAGAAGAUCAAGGAAGAAGAAGCCACUAAGACAAGAUCCAAGGCAAAAGAUGAUACUGUGAGAAAUAAAGGUGCUUCCGAAGGGAGAGAAACUCGAACACCAUCUAGAGAGGCAGACAAGAAAACGAUGUCUAAGCAACGACGUUUAACGGAUGAAGAAUUAAAGAAACGAGGAAGGAAACGCAAGGAAUAUGAAACAGAAAAGUCGCGCGUGGACGAACAGCUUACAGAGACCGCCCCUAGCUAUAAAGGUCCCGUCGAGUGUGGUGACAAAUUGAAAGUAUAUUAUGGCCCAACACACGAAUCCAAAGUUACUUACGAAGCAAAAGUCAUCGAGAUAGAAAAGGAAGGUCCAGAACCAAUGUACCUUGUACAUUAUACAGGUUGGAACACCAGAUACGACGAGUGGAUUAAAGCGUCUAGAAUCGCACAAAACAUCACGCAAGCUCAAGGUAGAGUAAAGCGCGUCAAAGCAACUCUGAGGCCUCAAACUCCCAGCACGAAUUCGUCCAACAACGUCAAGUUGAAAGGUACUUGUAAUUCGAGCGUUAAUGCAUCGCAAAGCCGACGCCGGGCGCAAAGCGUCGCUCCUACUUCCAGCACCGUUCAGUCAGCUUUAACAUCUAUAAAGGAAGCCAAAAGGGAAGAAAAGGAGAAAGACAAGGAAACAAUACAACCAACUAGAUCCACUACACCGCUAUCUGUCGCUAGUUCUAGUUCCAGAACUAAGAGUCCUGCUACGCCCGCCAAUAGGCUGACCAGAACAACAAGAAAUGCAGAGUUAUCCGGAAUAGAGCAUCGUAGGCGCACCAGAAGAACCUCGGGACACACGGACAUAUCUGUUGCAUCAGAAAGCGAGGAUAGUGAGGGUUACGAGACUGAUACCACCGAACCUGAACAAACCAAAACCAGAUCGAGAGGUAUGGAAGAAAGAAAACGGAAGGAAGCGCGAAGUAGAGCAGAAGAGAAAAUUCGAACAGACGAUGUGAUAAGUGAUGGUGAUGACGAUAAAGACAACUUGGAUGAACCACGUAAAGGUAGGCGUUUAAGAAGAACCCCUGGCAAAUCUCAAGGUAUCAAAUCUGAACCUGAUAGCGAUCAAGAAGAACAACCGAAGGGCCGAGAUUUCGAUCUCAAUCAAAUACGAUCUGAAUUGAAAGGUUUCGACAAAGCUGUUAAGUUAGAGAUAGUCAGGAUGGAGCCUGAAGACGAAGUUAAGUUGGACGAGAAGGAAAACUUGGCCGCUAUCACGGCGUCGCCCAAGUUGGAGAAAACUAUCGAUUCUCCGAAGGUGGAAGUUGUCGAAAGGAAAGUGGAAAGCACAGAAGACAUAUAUGAAUUUAAAGAACCGGAACCGUUCGAGUUUGAGGUAAGAAAUAAGAGAGAUACUAACUGCGAUAAAGAUAAAUUGAAGAAGAGAAUGUUCGAAGACGAGGCGAAAAGUCCGAAGAAGAAACAAAAAACGCCGGUUACAGCGACAGUAGUGAAGGAAACGAAAUCGGAACCGCCAGAGAACGAUUCUCGGAAGAAACCGAGGAAAUUGUUUAGCAAGAGGUCUGACGAUGCUCAUGAAACGACGACUGCUCCUAGCAAACCACAGAUUGCAUCGUGCGAGGACGUUUUCAAUAAGCUGAGUGAGUCGUCUACGUCAUCGUUCAAUCAAUUGAAAUCAACUGUCGCGGAAGAAUCGAGUAAUAAGGUGACUGGUUUAAAUCUUUUGUUCAACGAUUUGCCGGCAGACGAUGAAGGCACGCGCGACGACUCUGAGGACCGUCUGGUAAUUUCGGAGACCGAGGUAUCGGAAACGGAACAAGAGAAUGUGUUUACAUAUCAACAAGACAUUCAGUUCCAAAGUAGCAAAUCGCCGGAUACAGCAGAAUCAAGCAAAAACGAGACAAACGCUAAAGUUGAAGCAAAAGAAGAAACACCGAUAAUCAAUACGAGCAGUAAUAAUACACCUCACAUUCCCGAUCAGAAACAGAACCAAAUCAAAUCUUUGUCAAGUCAAGUCGCUGCUGGGCAAUCGCAGCCAGAAUUGAAGAUGUUGGAUUCGAAGUUGCUUGAUAUCGUCUCAGUUCCAUCGCCGAUUGUGACACCGCCAGCUCCCAUAAGCGCACGACUGCCAGCGACAUCCACGAUAGAAGAAAAGUUAUCGGCCGCGAUGGCGUUCCGAAGCAAAAAUAAAGACAUCAAAAAGACUUCGGACGAGGAAACACCUUAUGUCGUGCGCGUAAUCAAGACACUGAAGGAAAAGAAAUUAGACACUCCUAAUUUUCUGCAAAAAGGCAAAGACGCGGAUUGCGUUAUUCCUGCGGCCGAAGUAGAUAAAAAACGCGAACACGAAAAGAACGAUGAGACUGUACGCAGAGAAAUCAUGCGCGCGAUAACUAAACGAAAAGAAGAAGAAAUAUCGAAGUUGAAGAAAGAAGUGGAAGAUCUAUCAAAGCCGAAGAAGUUCUCAGAAACGAAAAUAGUCGCUGAACGCAAGAUCAAAUUGCAGGAAGCUACAAAAGACGAAAGUUGGAGAAACGCCGGAUAUGAGAUGUCUGAUAAAAAGCCUGAAGAGGAAUAUAAAACAAUGGAUCAGAAAGAGAAAGACAAAAUUGAAAAUCGUAAGAAACAAAUCACUCAAGAUAUUAUAGAUUCCACGGAUAGCAGUGAUUCGGAACAAAGGCUCGUGAUAGACAACGAGGAGCCGCAAGACGUUAAAGUAUCGACAUCUAUCUUUGACGUGAAGCUACAAGCGGAAUUGGAUCGUAUAGAAAAUACGCAAGAGAGACACGCGAGGUCGCAGGUAUUGAAAACUUCACAGAGUAUCCAUCAACAGCAAGAGCAGGAAUCUACGGAGUUCAAAAUUGAUGCAGCACCCAUUCUGAAGACAGAUGAAGAGGGCGAAACAAUGAAUUCGCUGCUAUGCGAAGAAGAGAUACCUGGCUCGCCGGCCCCACUGUCCGAGAACAUCGAACAAGUCAAUGUUGGUCCUUCAUGCAGUCCACCAAAGAAUGAAGUAUUAGAAAAUAACAUAGUGCUGAUGGAGAUGCCUUUUGCGAGUGCACCGACCUCGAGUCAAAAUACAACGAGCAGUAGCACCGCUACCCUCAGUAUAGCAUUACCAAAGACUAUAGAAACGGCAAUGCCGGUUUCGUUAUCAAUGCAACAGAACACGUCCUCAAACAUGCGGCAGUCACAACAACAACAACAACAACAGCAGCAGCAGCAACAACAACAGCAGCAGCAGCAACAUCAUCAACAGCAACAGCACGUGUUGGCUCUGAUACCACCACAACGACGAGAGAGCAACGAAGCCGCACCGGUGAUGGACAAUACGCCGCCGACGACACCCGAUUCGAGCAUUUCCAACAUUUCGGGCUCGCCUAGAGACGAGAGAACCGGUGGUUCGUCGCCUACUUCCGAGGAUAACGUCAAGCUUAAUCGCGACAGCUCCGAGGCGGAUAACGACAGCGCGGGCAAGGGCCUAGGCUUGAGUGAGGACGACACCCUACCUAACUCUGAAAGUAACUCCGCCGACAAGAUUCUUAAGCCGCCUGCCAAACGUACAGUUGAGGAUAUGCAGUCACCCAAGAAACGCAAAAGAAACAGAAAAAAUUCGGAAUGCGGUCACGGCGGUGGCGGCAGCGUUGGUGUCGGCGCCGGUGUCGGUGAUGGCAUUGGCCUUGGCGUUGGCGUUGGCAUUGGGGUUGGCAUUGGCAUUGGCGUUGAUGCUAGCGUUGAUAUUGGUGUUGGCGUCGACGUCGAUGUCGGUAUCGGUGUCAGCGGUAACAACAGCAGCAACAGUAAUAGCAGUAACAACGGUAGUGGUGGCGGCAGAAAUGGUGGUAGCAGUGGCAGUGGCGGUGACGGCAGCGGUGGCAACGGCGGUGAUGGCGGUGGUAGUGCCAAUAACAGUGGCAAUGUUAGUGGUUUUGGCAAUAGCACUGGCAGUAACGGUAGCGGCGGCGGCACCGUUCCGAAAAAACCUGGCAGACAGAACGGUAGGCAUGGCAGAUACGGAGCUGGGAGCGACAGCGACGACACUAGUGAGGGAUCCAAUCUUUGCGGAGUCAACAACACACCGACAAAUCGUGCUAGCACCAUCACCAACGUUCCCGAUCUCAGUACCUACUCGUCAAGAUCACCGAGACCAACAAAGUACAAUUUUUACGUUGAAUUGGAUCCUGAAUUGGAUGGUAGUCAAAGAAUAGCUGUACUACAGCAGAAAUUAACUGAAUUACGAAAGACGUAUAACGCUGUAAAGGUUGAGCUUGCUGCUAUAGAAAGACGUCGAAAGAAACUAAGAAGACGAGAACGAGAAGGUACAAUAAUUGAUUUGAAGAGUUCUGAGUCGACAUAGGCGGUUGAGAUGAUGGCGCGUCAUUUCAGUGCUUUAUGAUGCCGAUGAAAAUUUUAGUCGAUUCUGCAGUACAACUCCCGUGUUGGAAUUUUGAGUCAGAACUGACUGCGAUGAAAGCAGCUAAAGCAGAAAUGCAGCAAGCUUGUUCGUGAUAGACAGCACUGAAUGAUAGUUAUUCUUUUUUCGAGUACUAAAUGGGACUAUUGUACAAGCACGGUAUUAUUGGCACGGGCAUCAUGCAAUCACGCCAGGCGCCUCAUGACAAAUUUUAUCUAUGUAAUAUCACUUAAGUAACAUUUAACCGUCAAUCUUUUUUUAUUUAAAUAAACUGUAGAUAUAGUCAUAAGGUUUAUUCACAUAUAAUAUAGUUGUGUUAUUGUACAUUAUAUAUUUCAUUAAUCUCGUAAGCUAAAUGUUAAAAAUCUUUACCUUUAUUUUGUCAUUUUGCAUGUUCGGAUGCAAAGUACAAAUUAUCAAAACUGAUGAUCUUCAUUUUACUUCUCUUUAUCAUUUCUUUUUUUUUUAUAAAAAAGGCUGCGCGUUAUCGAUGUGUUACUGUAAAGACAUUUUAGGGAACAAUUUAUCUAAGCUGGUUGUCACUUCCAUUUUUUGAGUAUGAUUGUAUCGGUUGUAGUUGAGCUGUUUUCACAAAAUGUUAAAGAAAAGAUAAGAAGCAAAGGAAGGAUUAUACAGUGAUCAUAUAGUUACAUUAAACGUUACGUCUUUUAUAUUAUAGCAAAAGGUGUAAAUAUUAGAGAAUUGCAAAAUUUAAAGCAUUAGUACAUUGUAUUGCGGAUGUGAAAACACACACACACACACACAAACACACACACACACGUGUCUUUGUAUCUUUGUAUGACAAAAUUUUGUAAUUAGUACGCGUAUGAAAUAAAACGAUUGCUAAUUAUUAGACACAAAAAAAGUAUUUUGUCUUUAUUUUAAUUUAUGUAUAUAACCUUGUAAAAACGAUAUUAUAAAAAAACGAAUAGAAUUGCGUGUUUGAUAUUGGCUGCCGGCUGCCGUUUAUUUGGUGGACUACGCUUCGAAACAUCGAUUUUUUAUUCUUUUGAUCGAUUUAACGCUUCGAAAUAUGCAUAGCCCUAAGCCAUCGACAUAUGUAAGUGAAUAUAUGUUAAUAUAUAUUCAUUUAUAUAUGUUAAAAAAAAAUAUAUAUAUAUAUAUAUUUAUAUAUAUAUAAAGAUGUAAAUAAUAUCGUUUUUCUCUGUUAAAAGAUACAAGAUGUAAGACAUAUUUCCUUCUUCCUUUUUUUCUUUCAUGAUCUACAAUUUAAUGUAGUAAUUUAUCGUGAACGCAGCUCAACGAUAUUAUUAGGUUACUCAAUCAUAUUACAUUUAGCUCCCGUUGUUUUAUCAUCAUCAUUGAAUAGUUGUAUACUCAUUACUACUGUAUGCCACGUAUUGGAGACUUGUCAGAGAUGCAUUUAUAUUUGUAUUUCAACAUACAUGAAGAAUGCUUCAAGUAUGAAGAAAUUAUAGAUAAAUGCAAAAAAGAUGGGACUUUAGUAAGAAACACAUCGCGAAAAUGUUAAUCAGAUGUCACUAGAUGAAGAUAAAUCUGUAAAAAAUAUAAAUCUAGUUUGAAAAGAGAAUGAGGAUUUAUAGAUACAUAUAGCUCUAAGCAAGCAGCUCUAAGCAAGCCUGCAAAGCUGCUUAGGAACGGCUUGUCCCAAAUUUUAGCCAAAUUAAUUAACGAAUCUCAUUUCACUUAUGCUCGUUUUAAUCAGUAAGAUCAGCCGCAAGCUGGUACAGAGCCGGAUUUUCCAUUUUGGUUUUUAAAAAAUUUAUAAUAAAUAAAAUACGGACUCGCAGCUAAGCAACCCGACAGAGGUCGGUAGUGUUACUCCUGUCGACCCUUAAGACAUACGCGCGCAUAUUACAUGCGUGCGCGUAUAUGUAUGUUUAAAAUUUCAUUCUUAGGUACAUAUAAAUAUAUAUUUUUUAUAAAAGGUCAAUAUGAGCUCUAUGGAACGUGAGAACAUUUAACCCCGAGGAAAACAAAAGGCGUUAAGUUUUCUUGACAUUGUUUUUGUAUAUAGUGUAUUACAUUGUGUGUGUAUGAAUAUAUAAGUCAAAUUUUAAUAGUUGAUUGCACACUCUGACGUAACCGCGCAUUUUAACGUAUAAUGGUUUCAGAAACGUCGCAGAAUAACAUAUGAUUGUCUUGAAAAGACUAGAGGAUGCAUUUUGACGUUGAGAGAAACAUCUUAUUUUCAAUAAUUUGUAUUAGGUAUAUGGGAAUGUAAAUGCACAUUAAUACAUGUAUAUGUUAAAUCAAAUAAUUCAAAAUUGUGCAAUGUUUAUUAUGAUAAAUCACACUUAAAUGUUAUAGAUACACUAUUUUAUACAUUUAAUAUUAUUAAUCCAAAUUUAUUCUAAUAUUUUUAAAGUACAUCAACAUAAUAACACCAACAUAAUAAUUACGUGUAAUUGGAGCUUUAGAAACAUUACUAAUAUUUUAAAAAUAAUUAGUUAUUUAGUUUAUAUAUUUUUAUUUAGAAAUAUAUUUUAAUUUAAAUAUAUUAUUGUUCAGACGUAUAAUGCAACCAUUCAACUAUGAUACUGUUUACUGUAUAAUCUAUUUUAUAAGAAAUUCUAGUUUAAUUUGUGAAAAAAGAUUAAUUUGUAACUAAGGUCGAAAAAAUUAUAAAUUGGCGAUCCUUAUAAAUUAUAAGGAGAAAAUAUGAUUGCCAUAAUAUGAGAUGAUAAUUAAUAUAACCUAUUACAUUAUUAGUUCGAUAAUUUAAAUUUAUAAGAAUAUAUCAAGUAUCAACAGUCUUGUUUGACAGUUCAAAUUAUCACUUAAAGCGAUGAACGCAGCAUAUGACUGUAAUUUCGAACAUGUUUUACACAACUUUCAAUUUUUAGUAUAUUUUACUAUACGUUACAGGGUAUUACCUAAGCAAGUACACAAACUUGAAGGGGAUAUUCCUUGGUGUAUUUUAAGAAGAAAAGGAUCUAUAAACUUGUGUCCUAAACUGCUUCGUUCAAAAUACAGGAUGUCAAAGAUGCACGCUCCUGAUGGAUCUAAAAAUGUUUUAUCGGUACUAGAAAAUGGUUCUUAAUACCACAUCCACGCAUACCAAAUUUGAAUAAAAUAUUUUUAAACGUUUUCCAGAUUUUCGAAAUUUUCAUUUUUUUUUUCACAACUUUGACAUCCUGUAUUUUGAAAACGAAGCAGUUUAGGACAUAUGUUUAUAGGACUUUUUCCUCUUAAAAUAAGCCAAGAAAUAUCACCUUCAAGUGUACUUACUUAAGUAACACCCUGCAUAUUCAUUAUGAUAAACGUUAAAGGUGUGAUAAAUGUAUCCUCGUCUUUCAAAAACAAUUAUUCUUCCUGUAAAUCAUAUGACAUUACAUGUGAAAUAGUACAUAAUGAUAAGCAUAAGGCAAAUUUGCGUCGCCAAGCAGAUAACAUUGUUUCACAUAACAUUAACUAUGUCAAUAAAUAAGAAAUAAACUUAUCUUAACAAAAAACAA